This 553-nucleotide long non-coding RNA is filed under the name Monodelphis domestica (gray short-tailed opossum). RNAcentral describes it as "lncRNA (ENSMODG00000045344.1)". Lineage: Eukaryota; Metazoa; Chordata; Mammalia; Didelphimorphia; Didelphidae. The record is from RNAcentral.
CAUUUUUUUUAAUUGAGUUCUGUAGCAAGGGAAGGUAGAAGCUGCAAGAAUGAUUGGCAGGUCUUGAGACUUAGAAUCGUAUAUGAGCUGGUUGGGUCAGAGUUCCAAAGGGGCAGUUUUCCAACUGACUUAGUCUGGAGCUGAAAGUGAAGAAGGAAGAUGUGUAGCUGAGACUCCCUGAACAAACCACCUAUCAAGCAACUGGCCUUUGAGGAUCAACUGGCUGAGGGUGAAAGGAAAAUCACCAGUCUUCCUGGUGGACAGAUUGACUGGGGGAAAGACCUCUACCUUGCUGGACCAUCUGAGGACACCACAACUUGAAUUCCUGAUAUCUGCCCAACCACUGACUCUCAUUUUUCUGCAAAGGAAUAUAUUGACCCCACAGGUUUCACCUGACGCCAAAGAAUCCAUGACACAAAAAAGGAUGAAGAACCUGAGGCCCAAGGAAAUUAAGUAAUUUGCCUAAGAUCACAGAACUAUGAAGCAUCAGAGAUAAGACAUCAGCCCAGAGCUUCUGUGCCUAAGCUGAAAUAAAUGGGAAAACAUCCAGCCA